Tribolium castaneum (red flour beetle) is the source of this 1661-nucleotide long non-coding RNA. RefSeq lists it as uncharacterized. The record is from RefSeq and is a predicted model, not a curated record. Lineage: Eukaryota; Metazoa; Arthropoda; Insecta; Coleoptera; Tenebrionidae. The transcript is spliced from 2 exons.
UUUUAAAUAUUUGUAAUUAAAUUUAAAUACUUUUAUGGGUUACGAAGAAUUUGCAGUGCGGUAUAGAGUGAGUACCGAUACCACUUAUCCUAAGCCGAGACAGGUAGACAGAUGAUCCGAAUUGUCGGGACUGAGGACUUUCCCUGCAUUAUCUAAAGAUCUACUUCUGAGAAAAAAUAUUUGUAAUACAAACUAUGAAAAACAAAUUUUAGUUCGUCUUAAACUCUCGAGUUGUGAACACAAGCGAAUUAUGGAAAGUGUUAAACUGCCCGCCAUUUUAAUAAACAAUAUUAUCGAAGUUAUAUCCUCUUCAGAAAAUAAAAUUACAGCAAAAUGUUUAUUAUGUGUUGGUGCUAAUAAAACUUAUAGUGGAUCACCGAAAGCCACAUCGAACUUUUUGAUUCACGUCAGAAGAAAGCAUCCAGAACGAAUGUCUACCAUUGAUGAAGUUACAAGAAAAUGUUCACUCGUUCUUUGCCACUAUUCAAAUUAAAUUGAAUUAACAAAGAUAAAGAAAAUGAAAAGUAUUCUUUUGUAAAACAAAUGUUGACCGAUGAAAUUCAAAAAGAAUUUAGCGAUGAUGUAUGUAAAGUCAAAUCGCCUCUUUACCAAGAUGCAAUUGUUUUCGAUUUUAUGAUGGAUACCAGUACUCACAGAGAUGAUGUGUUAGAGAAUACUGCAGUCAUCGAAAUUUUAACUUAUUUAAAGUCUUCGGAAAAAAACAUUUCAAUGUUAAAGUCAUAUCAAACAGUUUUGAAAAUGUUUAAAAAAUACAAUGUAAUUUUACCAUCUUCCGCUCCAGUUGAGCGUAUGUUUAGUGUAGGUGGCCAAAUAUUGACCCCUCAGAGAAAUAAAUUAUCUGAUGAACAUUUCGAAAAUUUGUUGUUUUAAAAAAUAAAUUAGAUUAAAAUGAUUAGAUAGGUUUUAGGAUACGUAAGUAAAUUAAAUUAGAUAGUGUUAUGAACAUGUAAAUAAUGGAGUGUUAUACUCGAAAGUAAAAGUUUUUGGAAAUUGCAGAUUCUGAAAGUAGACACAAAAUAAUGGCUAGUAAUAUCGGUCUGAGUUUUUUUAAAUCGGUACUUUUUUAGUAAUAAUAGAAAAUUAGCGCUGUGAUGUAAACAAUGUCUCGACUAAUGAUUCGUCAAUCUUUUGCUGCAUACAAUUAACGCUACGACCUACGUUUGGGCUGGUAAACGUCAAAUACAAACGUCAAAACCGUGCGUUGUUUAUUGUGACUGUAUUGUGUGAUAAUAUUUUGCAGGAGUUUGUGUUUUGGUAAAUUGACUGCUCCUGCAGCACAUCUGAAGUCGUAUGUAAAACAACAGAGGCAGACAUAAAGAAAAGACGUACGUCUUUCAAGCUAUCUUUGUUGGCAAGUUUUCUAUCUCAAGUUCUGUGACUGGCUGAUUCAAAAAGGAACAUUGCUGACGUCAGUCCAGGAAUUUUCACCUUUUUAAUUAUUUUUCUCAAAAACGGUAGAGCUUUGGUUAAAAUAAAAAAAUAUGGGUCGCCUAUUUUGUUGUUGGCUAUCCAUAUAAAAAUUUUCAUUUUUUAGUAUAACACUCCAUUUUGUAUUAGUAUUGAUGUAUGAUUGUAUAUUGUGAUUGUAUGCUCUACUGACUAUUUUCCUGAAACAAAAUGUAAAUAAACAGUUUUUUAAU